CUAAUCUUUGAUCGGUCCAAUAUUUGAAGGAAUCUUUGAUCGAUUUUAACAAUCAACGAUCUUUGAUCGGCUUGAUCUUUGAUCGGCCCAACAUUGAAGGAGCCUUUGCUUAGCUUCUAUUCGAUGAGACUGAUCGUCGAUCUCGAUGCAGGAUGGCCAUUGAUUGAUGCACCCUAUGAUCGGCCCUUAACACAGGCUAUAGAUGCCUAACUUAUGGGCCCUACUUGAACUAAUGAUCCUUAGUC
Molecule: long non-coding RNA, 245 nt
Filed under: Elaeis guineensis (African oil palm)
Lineage: Eukaryota; Viridiplantae; Streptophyta; Magnoliopsida; Arecales; Arecaceae
Description: long non-coding RNA (EGUI_LNC040131)
Source: RNAcentral